Molecule: ribosomal RNA, 254 nt
Filed under: uncultured bacterium
Lineage: Bacteria
Description: partial 16S ribosomal RNA
Rfam family: Bacterial small subunit ribosomal RNA
Source: RNAcentral
UACGGAGGGAGCUAGCGUUGUUCGGAAUUACUGGGCGUAAAGCGCACGUAGGCGGACUCUUAAGUCGGUGGUGAAAUCCUGGAGCUCAACUCCAGAACUGCCUCCGAUACUGCGAGUCUCCGAGUCCGGGAGAGGUGAGUGGAACUGCGAGUGUAGAGGUGAAAUUCGUAGAUAUUCGCAAGAACACCAGUGGCGAAGGCGGCUCACUGGCCCGGUACUGACGCUGAGGUGCGAAAGCGUGGGGAGCAAACAGG